This 250-nucleotide ribosomal RNA is filed under the name uncultured prokaryote. RNAcentral describes it as "partial 16S ribosomal RNA". It matches the Rfam family "Bacterial small subunit ribosomal RNA", at positions 524 to 773 of the family's 1533-position model. The record is from RNAcentral.
CACGUAAGGUGCAAGCGUUGUUCGUAAUCAUUGGGCGUAAAGGGCAUGUAGGCGGAAGUGCAAGUCUGGUGUGAAAUUCCGGGGCUCAACUCCGGAGUUGCGCCGGAAACUGCAUAACUAGAGUCACUGAGGGGGAACCGGAAUUCCGGGUGUAGGGGUGAAAUCUGUAGAUAUCUGGAAGAACACCAAUAGCGAAGGCAGGUUUCCAGCAGAUGAUUGACGCUGAGGUGCGAAGGUGCGGGGAGCAAAC